Long non-coding RNA from Apis cerana (Asiatic honeybee), 620 nucleotides. RefSeq lists it as uncharacterized. NCBI's taxonomy places the organism in Eukaryota, Metazoa, Arthropoda, Insecta, Hymenoptera, Apidae. The record is from RefSeq and is a predicted model, not a curated record.
AACUCCUAUUUAAAAAAAAUAAUUUUUAUAAUAAAUAAUUAAUAUAAAUUGAUCAUGUUUUUAUAAAAUUAUAAAUAACAAUAAAUGUAAAUAAUAUAUAUAUGCUAUAAAUUGUUUAAAUAUAAAUAUAUAAUUAAAUUAUAUGUUAAAUAUAUUUAUUUAUAGCUCAUGAUUUACUUCACAUUAAAACAAAGGACAUAUUAUAUUUUUCAAAGACAUAUUAUAUUUAUAAAAUUUACAAUAUAAAAGUAAACAAGUCAAUAACAACGUCAUACAAAUAUUUAAAACAAAUUCAAUUAUAACAUCUAAUCUCACUUUUUAAUAAUAUUGCGUUUAUUCUACAAGAGAUCGGUUCUUAAGGAAUGCUACAAAGAUUUACGAAUCACAAAUAUUAUCAUCCAAAGAAACGAAAACAAUGGGUUCUGUCACGGUCGACGUAGUGUAGAAUGUAAAAAUCAUUUAACAUUUGCUUCUGUAGAAACAUUAGAUAAUUACCUGUAUCUCCAAUGAUAAUGUACUUGAAAAGGUAUGCGUACGACAUUUUUUGAAAUCACGUAGCAAACAAAGAUAUCUACACAAAAUGCGGAUAUAUUAGAAAACAGAACUUCACUUUUUUGACU